Molecule: long non-coding RNA, 201 nt
Filed under: Phoenix dactylifera (date palm)
Lineage: Eukaryota; Viridiplantae; Streptophyta; Magnoliopsida; Arecales; Arecaceae
Description: long non-coding RNA (PDAC_LNC015708)
Source: RNAcentral
GCGCUUAAGCUUACCAUGAUGAUUGCAGAAGAGGAAGUACGACGAGUACGGUAUGAAAUAGGUUGGCAAAGAACACAGAGUCGUGUGUCGAGUUCGGUAUCGCAGUCCUCACCCUUGACUUGGCACUCUCACGAAUGAAAUGCACCAACAUGUUGUCAAGCUUCGUGGUCUGGAAGGGAUCUAGCUAGUGCGAGUAAGCUU